AGAAUAAGAAAAGAAGAGAGUAUUUUUCUCAUAAAAUGAAUUGCUGUUGUACAAUGUACAUAUAUAUAGUGCAAAAGAAAUAUCUAAAAUGUUACAACUCGCCGAUACAGCUCAUCUAUACAAUUCUCUUCAAAGGUUACAUUCAUGAUAGCCUCCCAUAACUAUAGCUAAAAAUUUUGAUUCCCUUGGGUUCCACCUCUGCUGUGCACUUUCUAUUAAAAUUCUGUUUAGAACUUUUUUACUGUUACUUUAUCAUCCCCCUCCCCCCAAACUGGAGAUUGGAGAGUUGUUGAAGUCGAUCAAUCCCAGCUUGGACACAAGUGUUUGGAAGGACGAGGAGCUUAGGCACUUUGUGAAAAUGUCCGCCAACCAAUAAUGCGCAGGGAUGUGCUGGGGCUUAAUGAAGCCUUUCGUCAUUUGAUCUCGGACAAUAUGACAAUUGAUGUCAAGAAGCUUGGUACACUCGUGGAAUACUGGGUUGGAGGCAAUGUGAAUAGCAUCCUUGUUAUCGCAAUAAAGGGAAACAGGCAGAGUGUUAGCCGAAAAGCUUUAAGCAGAUAUGACAACCAUUGCAAUUCACAAACAGUAGAGGUCAUACUCCUGUAUUCAGCUUCGGCAAAAGACCUGCUCACUGUCGGUUGCUUCUUGGUUAAGGAUUUGCUAAGAAAAAUGCAAAAACCAGUGACAGACUUUCUUGUUUCAGUACAUGAUGCCCAAUUUAUGUCACAAUACGUGGUCAACGUAGGAGAAUAUUGGCAGGGAAGAAAAGUCCCUUACCUGGACAUCCUUUGAAGAGCUGAAGCACAUGAAGGGUGGCAUCCCAGCAUAGCUAAGCCUUAGAUUCCCGUCCAUAAUCAAUCUUUAGACCAUAGCACAGAAAAAAAUUUCCUGCCCCUUGUCAACCAAGUACCAGUAGUUUAAUACCAAUCUUGUUUAUUUAUUUGAGCAGAUACUGCCUUAGCUUCUCUCGAAAGAAAAGGGGUUUUAAAAAUACAUCAGUUGUAAGGGUUGUAUUCUGAAAUUAAACUGGCCACAAAAGGAGAAGACUGAAGGAUGCCCCCAAACGGCUCCUGGAUUUGAUGAGUUAAUAGUGAAAUUUAUGUACAAUGAUUCGUGUUUUUCAAUGCUUUUACAGGUAAGGAUAAAUUAACACAAAAUUUCAACUUGAAAUUCUGCUAAAGAUGAUAUGCGCACCAUGUUGGGGCAUCAGGGUUAAGAAAAACAUUGGAGCAUGAACAUAUGUUGGUGACAACGCAAAAGAAAAAUCUCUGAUGAUCAUCGCCAGGACAAUUUUUGCUUCAACGAUUGCUAAAUUUUGUCCAACGCAUAUUGUGGGGCCUAUUCCAAAUGGGAAAAAUGAAGCCAGGUGAUUUCUUGACUCAUUAAAUCUCAAGGGAUUGAACUCAUUUGCAUCUUCUCCCCAUAUAUCAGGAUCAUGGUGGAUAGCAGCCAGCGGCAAAUACAGUUGUGUGCCUGCAGGAACGUCAAGGGUUCCCAGCUUAAUCUUUUUAGAUGCUUCCCUCAAUAGCAUCACAGCUGGUGGGUAAAGUCGCAGAGUUUCAUUGAUUAUCAAGCUCAAAAUCUUAAGGUCAUUCAAACUCUCUGCAACUGGAAGUUCAUUCCCCCGUCCACAGAUUCGAAACACUUCCUCUCGUGCCUUGUGUUGCCAUUCUUGAUGUGAUGCUAAAAGAACAAGUGCCCAAGUCAAAAGAUUGGCAGUAGUUUCCUUUCCUGCAAAGUAGAAAGUCUUGCACUCAUCGAUAAUCUCCUCUUCGGUUAAUGUCUCUUCCUCCCCAUCUUUAUUAUUAUAUGAAGACAUUAGUAAACUAAGUAGAUUUCUUGAAUUUUCUCUUGCUCUGCUAUUAGUCUUGAUCAAUGUCCUAAUAGAUUCACGAGUUUCCUUAUCUAGUCUACACCUCUCUCUGUUCUUCUUGGUAGGCAAAAAUCUGCAAGCAUGAAUUCACAACAAAGAGAAAAAGGCCCCUAAAAUCCUCUGAAUAUUAAACUAAAUCUCAGUGAUUGAAUUGACAGACUUAAACUGCUUGAACCUUGGAAUAUGCUUUAGAGUUAGAUUGACGAAAUUGGAAAGCAAAUGGACAAAAAGAACGUGAUGACCUGAAGCCCGGGAUGUAGACGCUUCUUACAGACUGAGAGAAGAGGUGCAUGUGCUGUUCCUGUAAGGCAAAUAUUCGCUUCCCUUCAUCAAAACUGCUUCCAAAAGCCGUUCUGGAUAUGACAUCUGCUGAGAGGUCAUGAAGUUCUUUAUUCACUUCCAUCUCGAACUCAUCUCUCCCUCCCCGUAUUUCCUCCCACUUGUUUAGCAUAUUCCCAGUGCUAGCCACAAUUUCUGACACCCAACCCUGUCGAAAGCAUUAUCCUCCAUGGGCUACAUCAAGAAUUUUCCUCAAAUUAUAGAUGUUGAAAUCUGAGAGAUGGUAGCAACUAGUAAGAUUACCUUAACCCACUCCAUUUUAAAAGCCUGGUUUGCGAUCCUUCUAUGAAAGGCCCAUUUCUCGCCUUCCAGCCCAACGAGUCCUUCCCCAAAUAGCUGCUUAGCCUGAGGGUUUUGCUCAACCCUCUUGAAAGACCCACCACCAGUAUUCAUCAGAACCUCCUUAAUCACAUCCAGAUUAGAUAUAGCCAACCUGGGCCUCGCCCCGAACCAGUAAACGUACAUCUUUCCAUGCUUCCGCGACCAAUGGUAGUGAAAUGGAGCCACACGGUGAAGCACAUCGUGAUUCAAACCCAACGUUUUCUUGGACUGAGCUUCAACGUAUAGACGGCGGAUCUCCGCAGUGUUACCGGUGAUCGGACGGUAGUUAGGACCAAUUAUGCCUUGCUUUUUGAAGUGAUGUUGGAUCCUUAGAGGGACCCAUAUGGUGGAGUAUAUAAAUUUGAGGAAGCAGAUAAGCAGUGACAGGAUCAGGAUUUGAAGAAGCAGCAGCAGCAGAGGAGGCAUGGUGAAAAAGAUAGAUAGCAGAAAUAGUGUUCAAUUAAAAGUGAUAUAUAAUUGUGUAUGGUGGUGGAUUGAUUUGUUUAUUGGAUUUCUUGAGGAUCGGAUCAUAAUUUUCAAUGUAUAAAAAAACCUAAAAUGUUAAAAUAUUGGAAUCUGUCAAAGCAUUCGGCAGUUUGCUCUCCUUUCCAUGGGCCAGUAUAUGAGAUGUUAAUGAUUUGCUAAAUGUUGAUGACAAAGGGAUGGUAAUCCUCAUCCUAAUAAACUUUACUGUGGGUUCAGAGAAACUGUAGAUAAUUGUCAGCUUAUUGAUCUCUCGCUCGAUGGGUAUUCUUUUAGUUGGGAGAGAGGUAGAAAUACGAAUAGAAAGGCAAGGGAGGCUUGAUAGAACUUUGGUUACCCAAUGUUGGUUGAGC
RNAcentral lists this unclassified non-coding RNA (3369 nucleotides) under Hevea brasiliensis (rubber tree). Lineage: Eukaryota; Viridiplantae; Streptophyta; Magnoliopsida; Malpighiales; Euphorbiaceae. The record is from RNAcentral.